RNAcentral lists this transfer RNA (72 nucleotides) under Camelus bactrianus (Bactrian camel). It matches the Rfam family "tRNA". Rfam says of the family: Transfer RNA (tRNA) molecules are approximately 80 nucleotides in length. Their secondary structure includes four short double-helical elements and three loops (D, anti-codon, and T loops). RNAcentral also lists the same sequence under 1 other name. Lineage: Eukaryota; Metazoa; Chordata; Mammalia; Artiodactyla; Camelidae. The record is from Rfam by way of RNAcentral.
GGGGGUGUAGCUCAGUGGUGGAGCAGGUGCUUGGUGUGCACGAGGUCCUGGGUUCAAUCCCCAGUGCCUCCA